GCGGCUUAACCCACUGAGCCACCCAGGCGCCCCGCGGAGUUCUUAAUAUAGUCAGUCACAGAGACUGCUUCUGUGAUUCUAGCUGCCAGCAAAAUUGGUCCUAUUACUGAAAUGGCUGCAAAUCCUCUCACCUGGCACCGUGUGGGCUCACUGUGGACCUUCAACUCAACUCAAAGGAUAACCCCAGAAAAUCAGGUGCCCACUAGGGCAGAGGAACAUGCUUGGGGAUGUGGCUUCUCUGGGUGAUUCCAUACAUACAUGGGACAUUAACCACAGAGAGCUCUUUGGAUGGCACAUGGGACUGUGAUUACAUUCACAAUUAUGAGAAUGUGGGUUCCCGUCUUUCCUUUCAUUCAUUACAGAGAACAACAAAGAGCUACAGGAAUUUUCUCUCAAUAAUACAAUUCUAUGUGCAGGA
Molecule: long non-coding RNA, 418 nt
Organism: Lutra lutra (Eurasian river otter)
Lineage: Eukaryota; Metazoa; Chordata; Mammalia; Carnivora; Mustelidae
Exons: 3
Source: RefSeq, a predicted model, not a curated record